Mastomys coucha (southern multimammate mouse) is the source of this 143-nucleotide small nucleolar RNA. RefSeq annotates it as small nucleolar RNA SNORA48. The transcript has a single exon. The record is from RefSeq and is a predicted model, not a curated record. NCBI's taxonomy places the organism in Eukaryota, Metazoa, Chordata, Mammalia, Rodentia, Muridae.
UGCCCUCAGCAAUGGGCAAAGACACACCUUGUUGGUGGUGGUGGUCUUCCAUCAGUCAGGGGCAGAGCAGUGGCAGUCCUUUGCUCAUCCUAGCUUGAUGCCGAGCUUGGUGGUCAAUGCUUUUUUAUGCCUAGGAUACGUAA